RNAcentral lists this ribosomal RNA (207 nucleotides) under uncultured bacterium. RNAcentral describes it as "partial 16S ribosomal RNA". It matches the Rfam family "Bacterial small subunit ribosomal RNA", at positions 568 to 774 of the family's 1533-position model. The record is from RNAcentral.
CUCGUAGGUGGUUUGUCGCGUCGUCUGUGAAAUUCCGGGCUUAACUCCGGGCGUGCAGGCGAUACGGGCAUAACUUGAGUACUGUAGGGGUAACUGGAAUUCCUGGUGUAGCGGUGAAAUGCGCAGAUAUCAGGAGGAACACCGAUGGCGAAGGCAGGUUACUGGGCAGUUACUGACGCUGAGGAGCGAAAGCAUGGGUAGCGAACA